Molecule: ribosomal RNA, 497 nt
Filed under: uncultured bacterium
Lineage: Bacteria
Description: partial 16S ribosomal RNA
Rfam family: Bacterial small subunit ribosomal RNA
Source: RNAcentral
GAUGAACGCUGGCGGCGUGCCUAAUACAUGCAAGUCGAGCGAACAGACGAGGAGCUUGCUCCUCCGACGUUAGCGGCGGACGGGUGAGUAACACGUGGAUAACCUACCUAUAAGACUGGGAUAACUUCGGGAAACCGGAGCUAAUACCGGAUAAUAUAUUGAACCGCAUGGUUCAAUAGUGAAAGACGGUUUUGCUGUCACUUAUAGAGGUAUCCGCGCCGCAUUAGCUAGUUGGUAAGGUAACGGAUUACCAAGGCAACGAUGAGUAGCCGACCUGGAAGGGUGAUCGCCCAAACUGGAACUGAGCCACGGUCCAGAUUCCUACGGGAGGAAGAAGUAGGGAAUCUUCCGCAAUGGGCGAAAGCUUGCCGGAGCACCGCCGCGUGAGUGAUGAAGGUCUUCGGAUCGUAAACCUCUGUUAUUAGGGAAGAACAAAUGUGUAAGUAACUAUGCACGUAUUGACGGUACCUACUCAGAAAGCCACGGCUAACUACGUG